GUCGCUUCUCAGCCUUAUGGCUAAGAUCAAAUGUAGUAUCUGUUCUUAUCAGUUUAGCAGUCAUGUGAGUUUAAAAAAAGUUUGUCUAGUCUGUCCCUGGUUGGAGUCACAAGGCUAAAUGGUAUGAAAUAAAGGCUCUGACAAGUUCUAUAGUAAACUGUUGAUUUUGUUUAACUUGGUUUUCCCAAACCUAUUUUAACAGAAUCUUU
Non-coding RNA from Myotis brandtii (Brandt's bat), 209 nucleotides. NCBI's taxonomy places the organism in Eukaryota, Metazoa, Chordata, Mammalia, Chiroptera, Vespertilionidae. The record is from Rfam.